UAACUUACCUGGACGGGGUUGAUGACUGAUUAUGAAGAGUCGUGGUCUAGGCUAGUGGUCCACAGUGCAUCUGAUGGAUGCGCUGGCUUACCAUCUCCUCAAGUGGGAGAGUGGACGUCAUAAUUUAUGAUAGAGGGGGGACGCGUUCGCGCGGCCCCUAU
Triticum urartu is the source of this 161-nucleotide non-coding RNA. NCBI's taxonomy places the organism in Eukaryota, Viridiplantae, Streptophyta, Magnoliopsida, Poales, Poaceae. The record is from Rfam.